CCCCACAGCCCCUGUAGCUCA
This 21-nucleotide microRNA is filed under the name Callorhinchus milii (elephant shark). Its description in RNAcentral is "eshark_NOVEL_358". The record is from RNAcentral. Lineage: Eukaryota; Metazoa; Chordata; Chondrichthyes; Chimaeriformes; Callorhinchidae.